Molecule: long non-coding RNA, 649 nt
Organism: Rhea pennata
Lineage: Eukaryota; Metazoa; Chordata; Aves; Rheiformes; Rheidae
Exons: 3
Source: RefSeq, a predicted model, not a curated record
GUUGGCUCUCAUACUCGUUGGAACCGGUUGGGGUGAGGAUAGUGGAGGGGGCGGAACUAAAAGCGCCGGCAGCAAUUGGAGGAGAGCGACGGUUUAAAAAACCGCGGGGACGCCCGCCAUUGGCUGCUGAGGACUAUUGAAACAGUGACUCUUAAACCCUUCACUGUAAAAAAAACAGUGGGUAUGCACUUUCAGCUUGGCUGAAUGGGAGCUUAUAAGGAGAAAGAUUAUUGAACUCUAUGGACCUCAGUACGGAGCUCAAGGGCAGAACACUAAAAGGAGCAGCACAUUCAACUGGAUUAUACAGAAGGACCAGGAAGUACAAGUUUUGGACCAAUUUAACCAUUUUAGUUUAUGGCAUGAUUUUCUGUCUUACUGUAUUACUUGAAUCUUAUACAUCCAACAUAGGAUGCAGUUGAAUUGGCAGAAUUUUUAAACCAUUUUAAAGAUUUUAUUUUUAAAAUAUUUGCUGACAUGAUAAUUUGAGGUGCAGAACAAAAGCUCAGUAAAGUACACCUAGACUUCCAGUGAAUGGUACAUAAAGGGGAAGGGAAGAGUCAUCUCUAAUUGAACCUUAUUGCGUUAAGAACACAUUUCCUUUCCAUGAUUACCCAUAAUACAUUUAUAGUGUGCUAGCAAUUUAUCCAAA